UGGUUAAAAGAUCCAAAAAUUACUUUUGAAUGAUAAAAUAAAUAGAAAAGAUAAAUAUCUAAAAUGAUUCUAAAAUUAUUUAAAUAUAAUUUUUUUUAUUUUUUAUUUUUUAAUCUUAAUAAAAUAUAGAGUGGUUUCUCCCUUAUUUUUCAUAAAAAAGUAUAAUGUCUAUUAUAUUUUUGCCUAAAAUUUAUCCAUUGACUUUCUUAUUUCUUAUAAAAUUGUCUUCAUGUCAUUAGACAAGGAUGAAGAUGAGAGAAGAUUAAUCUAAAGAAAUUAAGAAAGUAUAAGAAAGCUGAAAAAAGAGGAUGUGGAUAGAGAUGAGAGGAGAUUAAUUUAAGCAAAAAAAAUUUUGAUAUAAAGAAAAUCAGAUAAAAAAAGAUAUAGAUGAAGAUGAGAGGAGAUUAUCAGAGACGUCGAUGGAGAUGAGAGCAAAUUAAUUUGAAGAAAAAAGAGUCCUCGUAGAUAAGAAAGUGAAAAAAAGAAAAUAUGUGAGGAUAUUGAGAGGGUAACACAUAAUUUUUCUUAAAAAAACUAACUUUCCGCUAAUGGAUACUUAGUAUAUAGUGCUACGCCAACAAAAAGAGGGGAGAUGUCAGCUUUAUAUAAAUCACAUUUUGAAAAAUAUUAAAUAAGUUACAGAAUUACUUUUGGAUUAUAGCAAAAUACUCAAAAUUUUAUUUUUAAAUUUGAAAUCAUUUUUGGCAAAUGCAAAUACACCCCAAGAUAUACAUUGAGAGGAAUUUUUUUUUUUACUUACUCCUACAUUUUUCUUGAUUACAGUCACAUUCUUAAUAAUAAUAAUAAUAAUAAUAAUAAUAAUAAUAAUAAUAAUAAUAAUAAUAAUAAUAAUAAAUAUUAUUCAUAAUAUUUAUUAAUAAUAAUAAUAAAUAAUAUCAAAUAACUAAUAUACAUCUAAUUUAAAUAUUAAAAAUUAUUUUAAUAAUAUUAUUUUAUUGAGUUAUAAUGCAUACCAUAAAUAAUUUAAUAUUAUCAUAAUAAUAAUAAUAAUAUACAAUAACAUGAUAAGUGAAUGGCUAGAUUCAAUAAUGAGAGUGUGAUGUCACCGUGAUAACAAUGAAAGUGGGGAAUGGAAAUAGCCGACUAGGAUUAACCAUACAGUUACUUAAUGUUCGAUCAUUUUAUUGAAUGUUAUUUUAAAUUUAGCUUGUGCAUAUUUUUUAUGCCUAGGCUUACUAAAGUAGGCCAAUGUUUGGCACAUGUACUCAAUGUUUCGAUCCAUCAAAUCGACUUGACCUGCUAGAUCAUUUGACUAAUAAGUUUAUAGCUCAACCAUAGGCCAAUUAUGAUUCUAUCAUGACCCUAAACUAAAAGACAUUGAUGGUCUGUGAUAUAAAGAACUCAACCACUUAAAUAAUUAAUACUCUAGAAACAUUUGAGUUUUUUAUUUGAAUAUUGUUAAUGUUAUUUUGUGAUCUACAUGCCUAUUGUUUGACCACUGGUCAAUUAUGAUUUCAUCAUGACCCUGAACCAAAAGGCAUUGAUAGUCCAGAAUGUGAUACAAAGAACUCAACCACUAAAAUAAUUAAUACUCCAAAAAUAUUUUAGUUUUUUGUUUAAGUACAAAACUAUCUAACUUCGUAACAUUAUUUUAUUCAGAGGACACUUGAAAAUAAUGAGUUCUUUAUUUAUAAGCAAUCAUUGAAAUCACUCCUAGAUGAGAAAUCUCAGUCCCAAAUCUAAAGUGAAUAAUUUGAUCAAAAAUACUUUGUCUAUCCAAAACUACAAAGAAUAAAACCAUUAGAAUGGUCAUCGUCGUCGUCCUCAUCAUUUUAUUUUACUAUGAAGAUUAUUAUCAAUAAAUUAGAGUUUGAUUUAACCUUUAAAAGAAGACAGUGUCUUAAAUAGCUCACAAAAUGUAUAACUUAAAUGUAUUAACAUACAUAGAGAAGCCGGUUAUACUGGCUAUGAAAAAACAAACUCUUUAUUGAUUGGGGCAAAUACACUCCCAUGGGCAUAUAAUGCUUCUUGAUUUAAGGUAUUUAAAUUGACUUUUCACUAAAUAAGGUACACAAACUGCCAUAAUUUAGGGCACAAAAUGGCAUCAAUAUCAAAGGCCAACAAAUCAUUUUUGUUGGCCAAGACAAUAAUCAUAAAUAUAAUACCAACCUCAAAAUGUCUGUAACAUUGAAAUAAAAAUAAUUUUAACAUAGAUAAAAAGUUUCAGAAUUUAAUUAACAACAUUAUUUUGAUUAUCACAUUUCAAGUUUAUAAAUAAAAAUAUUGACCAAUGAAGGUCAUGCUGAACAAAAAUAAGUUGACAGUAAAAUUCUUAUAUAAAUUAACAGAAUUUCAUAUGCAUAUAUAAUUUUAUCGUAUAAACACAUCAUAUAUAUAAUUCAUGACAAAGCAAAGUAAAGCACAAUGAAGGAUCA
RNAcentral lists this long non-coding RNA (2396 nucleotides) under Elaeis guineensis (African oil palm). Its description in RNAcentral is "long non-coding RNA (EGUI_LNC007829)". The record is from RNAcentral. Lineage: Eukaryota; Viridiplantae; Streptophyta; Magnoliopsida; Arecales; Arecaceae.